Non-coding RNA from Podarcis lilfordi (Lilford's wall lizard), 72 nucleotides. Lineage: Eukaryota; Metazoa; Chordata; Lepidosauria; Squamata; Lacertidae. The record is from the annotation of a GenBank genome assembly.
AGGGCUGUGGCUCAGAGGUAGAGCAUUUGCCUUCCACGAAGAGUGUCCCAGGUUCAGUCCCCAGCAGCUCCA